UAUUUCUAUCUUAAUAUUGGUUAGAACUGAUUAUAUGCUGAUAGACCCAAACACACAUCCCAAAGCCAUUGCGGUAAUUUCAACAUUGCAUACAGUUAUACAGGAAUUAGCAGAUGAUAAAAUUGCUGAUAUACUAUUCUUUUACCUUCACAACUUAGCUAGGCUCUUAAACAUAGAAAAAUGAUAGCAAAGCAGCUGGGAAGCCUUUGGAAAAGAUAAACUUUUACUGGUUUUUGUUAUAAAUAAAAACUUUCUUUGCAUAACUUCUCAUUGUAGCCCUUCUCAGCCACCAAAUUUAUGCAAAUACAUAUACUGGAAAGCAUGAGAGAGGAGAGUCGUAGUCCUGUUUUGUUUCCCCCUUUUUUAUGGGAUAGAAGUGACACUGGAGCAGGAGACUGAUUAGAUUAAUUUCUUUUCAUGUAGUUUCAAACUGCUUUGUAGGGAAUUAAAGUGUGGAAAUGCUGGUGAUGUGGCAGUGCUUGUAGUCUUUUGGAAAUUAGUACAACUAAGGAUUACACAAGAAUUUAAAGGCAUUUUGUCACUGUUUCUUUUUUCUUCUUUCUUAACAGAUUAUUUCUGGUAUCGAGAAAGAAUGGGAAUGUGGUAGGAAAAUACAAAAGAGUUACAAAGAGGAGACAUUAUUGUCUACACAUUCUGUAUAAUUCUGAACUUUUAGCUAGGCAUGGUAUUUCAAGCAUCAUUUAGCAGCACACACAGCAGAAGACAUUUACUAUAUAUUCUGUGGAAUUUACAUAUUUUAUAUUCUUAUUUUUCACUCAAUAAACAGUCAGCAAAUCAUUAAUACUUUGUCAGAGAGGACAUGUUUUGUAUGGAGAAUGAUUAUGAACUGAAUAAUGCCUGGAAUUAUAAUAAUAUCUAAUUAUUCUUUCUUGUGUACACUAUUAUAUCACAUAUGAAAUUGUUUAAGAUUUUACUACAUUUUCCAGGCAUAAUGGUACUUUUAAAAAUAUAAACAAAUUAAUAAAGAAGCUAUCAAUGGCAACUUAUCAUAUAUGAUUAAUCAUUAUAUGUCAAGUAUUGGAAACUGUAUGCCUCUCAAUACUAGUUGUAAGGAAAUACAUAAGAGGCUGUACAUAUACUCAUGGUCUACUGUAAACUUCCAAAGGCAUUCAGUCAAUCUCAGCAAGGAAAGAAUGCUAGAUAGACCACAGAUUCUUCCAGACGGGUACAAAUCCAAUAAUGGGUGACCACAAUAUAUCUGAUUGUGAUUAUUACUGAAUUAUUCCUGUAUUCAUGGUGUUCUAUUCACUGAUGACGAAAUAACAUUUUAAGCAGAAAUGGCCCCUAUGGAAGCUAUAGCAUAUGACUACAUUGUAUUUUAAGGAGUGGUCUGUGUUCCCAUUGGUGGUUGGUUAUCAGACCUGUAUUGCAAAAAACUGGAAUGAUCCUAAUUUUUAUAACUGUAUUAUAAGGGAUGCUUAGUUUGAUGUUUUUUCCCAGGCCCUCCUAUAACUUUACUAUGGUGGUAUGAUGGCAUGGGACUAACAUAAAGAGUAGUAUUUAAAUCAGCCUAAGGAGCUUGAAAGGCAAAUGAGGUUUUGUCACAUAAAUGCUAGCAAUUUUCUCCCUGUGUAUGUUUGUGUUUAAGAAGGGAUGUAUUUUUAGGUGCAAUACUCAGGAACAGGAUGAUAUUCUGAGCAAUUGGCAGUUAAGUGAGUACUGAUUGGCUCAUGAUUCUCUGUGUUCAGUUACAGGCCUGAAAAGGCAAGUACUAACUGGCUUUAAUUUUUAGAGUGCUCUGUAUACUUAAAAAGGAUAAACAUUCCCAUGCUCUAAGCCUCUGUGUCUACAAUCAAACCAACCUGGAUCAACCUAGCUUGAAAUGGAAUCAGAGAACUUGGAAGACAGAAAGGCUGUUCCUGAGUACCAUAAUAUGAUCUAGCACUGCUUGUCCUACUGUAGUUGACAGGACAAAUUGAGCAAAUCAACCUGAUGAAUAAAAACAUACAUGCAGUUUCUUAUUCCUCACUGUGAUUAAAAAGCAUACCUUAGGCUAAUUGUGUUAAGUAAAUCUAGAAUGGCUGCCAUCUAUUAAUUUAUUGAAUUUAUAUUCUAUCUUUCCUCUAGGACUCAAGGCCAAAUGUUCCACAACUGGCUUUUGAAUUUACACAAGGUAAUAAGUGUUAAGUAAGCCUUUUACCCUAUUUAAAGGAGUGAUUUAGUAGGGGGCGAGAGUAGCACAAGGAGUGUCUAUGUAUGUGUGGAUGGAGGGGGGAAAAUAUGGUACUAUAUUAUGCUUUAAUAUGUCAUGCAAACUGUGCUAUUAUAGAACUAUUUAAUUUUUAAAGAGAAAGUAAACAGCUCAGGCUGCCUAUCUGCCCUACAGAAAGGUCCAUAUUGUUAAGCUUUUACCAAUGUAUUUUAAAUAUCGUAUUUUUUUUCUUAAAGGUUACGAUAAUUCUCCUACAAUACCUCACACCCUGAUUUUUUUUCUCUUUUGGAAAUAAAUGAAAAAAGUUGUUUUCUACAGCUGUGCCAGGCUUGAUAACAGCUUGCUAUAUCUAACCUAUCAAAUGAGUAGCACUGUUUUGAUUGUAUAGAUGGUGAUAAAGGGGGAAAGGUUUUUCUUCUGCUACUUUGGAAAAGCUAUAUAAUGUUUUACAAACAUCACCGCACAACAUCUCAAUAUUUAUUUACUAAAUACAAAAGAACGCGCUGAGGCCAUUUUAAAGAGAGGAGCCAUGUCAGUCUGGGCUAGUUAAAAAUAAAGGAGUUGAGCCACAAGACUUUUUAUUAUUCAGGAAGGAGAUCUUAUAUUGAAUCUGGAUAAUAUAGAAGGACAUUCAAAAUCUGAAACCACAGAGCCUCAGAAAAAGAAUAUUUUUUUAUUUUAGAAAGAGAUCCAAGUGAGUAUACCAUUUAUUAGUAUAUCUACCUGCAGCCUUUCCCUACUCCCUAUAUGGACAUCUGAAGCGAGUCAAGCCGAAUCAUCGCCAGGAAGUCCCCUCCCCCGGCAGGUGUUAUGACAAAAGCCUUCUGAGUCGGGGGUCUGCGCCCGCCCAGGGGGUAGUGCUGUAGAGACCGUCCCGUGCUCCUCCGCCGCCGUACCCCGAAGCCUACCCCAGGCGGCGGCGGCGGAAGUGAGUGAAGGGGCAGUAUAGGAAUUUCCUGUGACGUCCCGGCCCAGACUCCAUUAGGCUGCAGCUAGGCAGAAGAGCCUCAAACCGACCAGCGAGUGGAGAGGAACGGGCUGUGUGCCUGGGCUGCCAGGCGGGGGCUGUUUCGGGCCGCGUUCCCUGGCGGGACCAUAGAAAGGGUAGCAGCAGCUGCUGCUGUCUAAGAACCCCGGGGAGAGGAACAGCUCCCCGUUCCUUACCCCGCCACCUCCCCCAUCCCACCCUACCCCUCCUCCCCUUCCUCACUCCCCCCCCCCCGGCUUCCCACCACGGCCGCUCUCGGCGAGGAAACUCUGGCCUCCGCUUCCUCCUCCUCCGACUCGGACACCGGCGGAGCCUCCCCGCCACCGCGGAAGAAAGCGCGGGCUUCCCCGGCGGCGGCGGCGGAGGGAGCAGGAGAGCCCGGGGCUUCCGCGGGCAGAGCAGGCCUCACCUCGUCUUCAUCCCCCUCGCUCUCCUGCGGGCUUGCCCCCCCGGCUGCCACCCCCCUCAGAGCCAGCGGCAGCGCCAUGCAGGCCAACGGAGCAGGAGGGGGUCAGCAACAACCGCCGCCGCCGCCGUCGUCGUCGUCACAGGGUCCGGAUCUGGGCUGCCUCAACGCCCAAAACGGCGAGGCCUCGUCGGGAUUGACCACUGGAGAGCAGUUAGCUCACGCCAAUGGGUUGCUGCCGUCGGCCAACAACGGCGACGGUGGCGGCGGACCGAGUGUCAAUAAUGGGGUCUCGGCCCCCGGCGGGUCUGCGCUUGAGCUGGGGGGAGGUAGCGGCGUCGGCAGCAGCGCCCUGAAGAAGAAGAAGCGACUUUCGCAAUCCGAUGAGGACGUGAUCCGGCUCAUCGGGCAGCACCUCCACGGUUUGGGACUCAAGAAGCAACAUCGGAUGAUUGUUUGGCGAGAAUAUGGAUCUAGCCAGACUGUUGAUCUUCUCAUGCAAGAGUCAGGAUGUCGUUUAGAACACCCUUCUGCCACCAAAUUCCGCAAUCAUGUCAUGGAAGGAGAAUGGGAUAAGGCUGAAAACGACCUGAAUGAACUGAAGCCAUUGGUGCAUUCUUCUAAUGCAAUUGUGAAGAUGAAGUUUUUGCUGCUGCAACAAAAAUAUCUAGAAUAUCUGGAGGAUGGUAAAGUUUUGGAGGCACUUCAAGUUCUGCGUGGUGAGUUGACACCGCUGAAGUACAACACUGAGCGCAUUCACAUCCUUAGUGGAUAUCUGAUGUGUAGUCAUCCAGAAGACUUACGCACUAAAGCAGAAUGGGAAGGGAAAGGAACAACGUCUAGAUCUAAACUUUUGGACAAGCUCCAAACUUACCUACCCCCAUCAGUGAUGCUCCCCCCAAGGCGUCUGCAGAAUCUGCUACGUCAAGCCGUAGAGCUACAACGGGACCGGUGCCUCUAUCACAAUACUAAACUUGAUAAUAAUCUAGAAUCUGUAUCACUACUCAUAGACCAUGUUUGUAAUAGGAAACAUUUUCCAUGUUAUACUCAGCAGAUACUUACAGAGCACUGUAAUGAAGUAUGGUUCUGUAAAUUCGCCAAUGAUGGCACUAAACUAGCAACAGGAUCCAAGGAUACAACUGUUAUUAUAUGGCAGGUGGACUCUGAUACACAUCAACUAAAAUUGCUCAAGACAUUGGAAGGUCAUGCAUAUGGUGUCUCUUAUAUCGCUUGGAGUCCUGAUGACAACUACCUGGUUGCCUGUGGUCCAGAUGACUGCUCUGAGCUUUGGCUCUGGAAUGUACAAACGGGGGAGCUAAGGACAAAGAUGAGUCAGUCCCAUGAGGAUAGCUUAACCAGUGUGGCCUGGAAUCCAGAUGGAAAACGUUUUGUGACAGGAGGACAGCGUGGGCAAUUUUACCAAUGUGAUUUAGAUGGUAAUCUCCUAGACUCCUGGGAAGGAGUAAGAGUGCAGUGCCUGUGGUGCUUGAGUGAUGGAAAGACUGUGCUGGCAUCGGACACACACCAGCGAAUUCGGGGUUAUAACUUUGAGGACCUUACAGACAGAAAUAUAGUACAAGAAGAUCAUCCAAUUAUGUCUUUUACUAUUUCAAAAAAUGGCCGGCUAGCUUUGUUAAAUGUCGCAACUCAGGGAGUUCAUUUAUGGGAUUUGCAAGACAGAGUUUUAGUGAGAAAAUACCAAGGUGUUACACAAGGGUUUUACACAAUUCAUUCAUGUUUUGGAGGCCAUAAUGAAGACUUCAUCGCUAGUGGCAGUGAAGUGUCUAAAAACUACCCAGCUGUAGUUGAAGCUGAUGGCACCUUAUUUAGAUUCGGACUGCCUGAGGCUGUUGCCUCUUUGCACUGAAUUGUUGCAAAUAUAGCUGCUGUGAAAGUCUCUAUGUACAAAAAAAGUAACAGAUUUAAAUGUCAUAACCUCUUAAAUGUAAAGAUCAUAAAGUAUAUAUUUGGCACAAACGUAGUGAGCUGCCAAUUGCGGAACUGACGGGGCACACACGUACAGUCAACUGCGUGAGCUGGAACCCACAAAUUCCAUCCAUGAUGGCCAGCGCCUCUGAUGAUGGCACUG
Molecule: RNA transcript, 5656 nt
Organism: Crotalus tigris (Tiger rattlesnake)
Lineage: Eukaryota; Metazoa; Chordata; Lepidosauria; Squamata; Viperidae
Gene: WDR26
Gene name: WD repeat domain 26
Exons: 15
Source: RefSeq, a predicted model, not a curated record